GACGAACCGUGCUAACGUUGUUCGGAUUCACUGGGCUUAAAGGGCGCGUAGGCGGGCGGCCAAGUCGGGGGUGAAAUCUUUCAGCUCAACUGGAAAAGAGCUUCCGAUACUGGUCGUCUGGAGGGAGGUAGGGGCAUGUGGAACUUCCGGUGGAGCGGUGAAAUGCGUAGAUAUCGGAAGGAACGCCGGUGGCGAAAGCGACGUGCUGGACCUUUCCUGACGCUGAGGCGCGAAAGCCAGGGGAGCGAACGGG
RNAcentral lists this ribosomal RNA (253 nucleotides) under uncultured bacterium. RNAcentral's name for it is "partial 16S ribosomal RNA". It matches the Rfam family "Bacterial small subunit ribosomal RNA", at positions 524 to 776 of the family's 1533-position model. The record is from RNAcentral.